UGUACAUCCAUCCGAUUCUAUAAUAGACUUUGGAAGAGUGCGGAACCCGAAAGUUUACCCAGGAGUCAGUCGCCAGCUGCUACUCGUGGCGAAAUCACGCUUUCUUCUGACUAUCGCAGACCCAGUUUCCCCCUUGAAUAAAUCGCUAACGUCCGAUCGGAUCCCAGUGCCUUGGAACCUUCAUUAAAAAGGGAAAAGAUACAGGAUCGAAGCAAGGCCUACUCUAAGCGGUGGGCGACCCACUCACGGUUGAAUUAUAAACAACCUUUGAAUAAAUUCUUGUACAGGGGAUUUACGCAGUAACGAUCAGCUUCUAAGCCGAAACGAUUCGGUGCAGUGCAGCGGCUCAAGGGUAUGGCGAUAGACAUCAAGCUUUCCAAAUUCAAUAACAUCCCAUGGGGAUUCCGGCUUUCCGGUGGAGCGGAUUUUCCCCAUCCACUCACGGUUGUCAGGGUGGCCCGGGGAAGUUUGGCCGACGAUGCCGGGCUGCAGCCAGGUGACGUCCUGAUAAGAGUCAACGACAGUCCUCUGCAGAAUCUGACACACGCACAGGCACACGAUUGGCUGGUGCGAGCCGGUAACAACUUCGUUCUCUCCGUCGUCCGCAAUCAUCGCAUCGCCAAAGAGGCCCAUUGACCUCCGGCCAUUCCUCAUCGUAAUUCUUGUCCGACCUCUCGUUCGGCUUUUCGAGACGGUCUCGGGAUGGAUUUAUAUUUUCCAAUGCUACAAGGGUACGAGACUCGAAAUGAGAAAAUAAUUCCCGGAUGGCGAUGUUGGGUAUUCAGAAAACCCCGCGCGGGUCGCAAAUAUUUUUAUAGUUAUGAUAUAAAGUGACUUUAUAGGAAGAUAAAAAAAAUAUAUUGCUAUAUACUUUUUCACUGUACGUAUUGUAGUUUGAUUCGUGUUCUAUAAUUCGUAAUUAGGUAGAUACGCAAUUAAUGUUGACAUCCUGUCUGUGAAUUGAGCGGGUCACAUAUUAUAAUGAACACGCCCGUAUUUUUCCAUAUCUCGUUCUGCGUGAAGAACGCAGAAUUUCCGUAUCAAUUGCAAUCAUCGUUUGAGCGAAUAUCCAGAUACGGAUUCGUUUGUGCAAUUAACGAUUUGCAGUUGACAAUAUUCGAUAUUCGCUGGUAGUGACUGAGCCAUUUAUUUACUGUCAUACUUUGAUGAAAAGUACCAUAAUUACGGUGACUGAUCUUGAUCACCCGCAUUAAAAUAACCCGUACAAAAAUAACCGGGCAUAAAUAACCCAACCACAAAUAAUCCGUGAUAAAAAAUUGACAAACAAUUAAAUUAUAUUAAUAUUAAAUUGAAUUUCGCAUCUAUUGCAUUUGUGCGGGAUAUUUUUGUUUGGUCUAUUUGGUCCCAGUACUGAUAAUUACCGACCAACGGCUCAAAAAAUCGAUAUGUUGCAUUUUAAAUAUUUCAUUCAAACAAUUAGGUAACGGAAAAAUACUGGAGGCCGGUGACAGCCGUACCGUAAACAUGGCUAUACAGAACAAGCUUAAGGGGGUGCGCUGGUCGAUUUCGACGUGACAUAUACAUAUAUCGCCGGAUAUUGCAGUCGACGUAUCUCAAACGCGUGAAAGGGUUCAACAGUCCCACUCCAUAAGCAAUUAUGAACAAAAACAUUCCAAUAUAUUUUCAUUCGACACAGAAAUAAAGAAACGGCAUGGAUUCUACUAAUUUAAUAUUGCAAGCAAUUUCGUAGAAAGCACGCCGUUUCUUUACUUCUGCGUCGAAUGAAAAUGUAUUGGAAUUUUUUCGUUCACAAUUGCUUAUAGAGUUGGACUGAUGAAUCCUUUUACGCGUUUGAAAUACGUAGACUUCGAUAUUUGGCGAAUAUAUACGUCAACGUCAAAAUCGACCAGGGCACCCCACUAGUCAUGUUUACGGUACGACCAGGGGGCACCCUCUUAAGCUUGACUUCAUUUUCCUUCUAUUGGUUGAAGAAACUCCUUUUAUGCGCUUAAGAUUUGUUGAUAUUACGUUCGUUCAAUAUGGGCCGGGGAUUCAGCGCAGAGUGCGAGCUUGGGAGAUAAGGGAUCCGUUGUUGCAUUUCAUUUGCUUGAAUUAAGAUACGUUGAGUGAUAGAUCUAUAAUGUGCAGUUGGUAUACGUAGGCAUUCAGCUACUGUCAGUAUAUCCUACGUGUAUGAAUGAGCGUGCGCAAUUUGCAGCAAAAGAUUUUCUUUGAAAUCACUUACAGCCACAUGGAUAAAAAAAAAAAAAAAGAAAACAGUGUAAGCGAGGUUGUAAAAAAUUUUCGCGACUCGAUUCUACGCGCUGACAGCACACACGGAUUCUACGAUUAACAAGUCAAAUUGGUAGCUAACAAACACCUGUGUAUUAUUCGAACCCCCAUCUCUCCCUUGGCGUUACAUGCAAAUCAAAAGAGCUCGGUGAAAUUAUUGCAAAACCCCUUUCCAUUCGAACGAACAAUUUUCACCUCCUGAAAAUUUUUCUGUAUUCAAUAAUAUGCCCAAAGCGGUGUGUAGUCAAAGUUUGACAAUCACUGGAGGACUCCUAAAAAAACAUGGCGAAUAUUUUUAUAGUGAAUUUUUUGGUCGUUGUAUAAAUUACAUCGUUCCAGUGUUAUUUUUGUGGUAAAUGUCUGCACGACACAAAUAUUACAUAGGUAUAGAAUCUACGUGCGGUAUUGUGUGUUUAAUCACUAAAGACAACAUUUAUAUUUUACGCGUACACUCUUUCAACUUCGUAAUAACUUCAUUGUAAAGUAUCCUAUCUCUCCUUCGUACCUUUUACGGCGGACGCAUUUACUUUGACUGCCUAUAGGUACGAAGGGAAUCCUCACCUUGACUCGAUUACACUUCAAAAGGCUAGUAAACUGGUGUAAUAAGACUGUUUUAUGAAAAAAAUUCCCUUCAAACAUACAGGCCUUUCAGAAAUAUUAGCUUUUAAGACGUGUCGUAUACAUAAUAGUAGAUAGUAGAUGUAUAUUAUAUAUACAUACAUAUGUGUAUAUAUAUAUAUAUAUAUAUAUAUAUAUAUAUAUAUAUAUAUAUAUCGUUUACCUCCUGCAACACUGAAAAAAGAUUAAAUAAGAAUUAGAUGCGUUGAAUCCUUUUGAAAAAAUAUCGUUUCAUUUUUACUGAAUUACAGGGUAAGCCGGCGGGCUAUUUGCUCAGACUUUUAGUAUACAAGUGAUUCAUGACUUCUAAUGAUUUCAAGUGAUUUCAGAUGAUUUCAGCUGAUUUUAAACGACUGCAGCUGAUUUCAACUCAAUUCAACUGACUUCGUAUACAAUGUCAUCGGAUUUCUUUCUUAUUUCGAACGACUUUGAAAUGCCAUCAAACUAGGGUGCGCCGUUGAUUUCGCGAUGCACCAUAAAUGCUCGUUAAUACAGAUUGAGCAAAAAUGGGGCUAUGAAAAUCCAAAAGUCAGAUUUCUAAACUAUCGAUUAUCGACCAUAUUCAACUCAUCGACCAUACGAACACUUUAUUGUUCCUCGGUGCAAUGAAUAAAGGAGUGUGAGCGAAUCGGUAUUCUUCCUAUUCGUAAAAUAAAACUCUCGGAAUGGUCAACAAAUCAAUUUCGAGGCAAAAAGCAAGACACGCGAUCAAUCCGUUGAACGGUGGAAGGACGCGAAAGAUUUACCUGUCAGAGAGCUCUCCGCGGACGUGAUUCUGCCGAGAUAGUAGAUCAUGUCGCGUUACUGUCUUAUGAUUAAGGCGAGGAAGAUUACGGCACAAGGUAAAAGGGAUGAGAAAGAAAAAGGAAAAGGAUUAGCGCUCAUGGAUCAAGAAAUGUAAGUACAAUAUAUAAUUUAAUUUCAUUUUAAUAUAUUAGAUAUUGUUCACGUAAUAUAUUUAUAUUUAUAUGUAUAUUAUAUAACUCUUGUGCUGUAAUUCACCUUAACAAUAAUCAUCAUGUUUUUAUAUUCUUUGCUUAUAUCGACGAGUUACACGAAACUGUACAAUAUAUAUAUGUUCUUUGUUUAUCUGUAUACGUAGCAACGUCGUUUCGCGUUUAAAUUAAAACCUGUAGGUUGCGUCAACGAUUAGACAAUAUCAACUCAUCAUCAAUUAAUCGUUGAAAAACUAACGUUAAAUAAAAUAAGAUAAAACAACGAAACGUGUAUAAGAAUAAAGGAACAUUAACGACACAACGCGAUGUAAGUAACAAACACGCACCGUACGUCUGUAGAGAAAACACUCUCGCAAACUCAAGUUACCAAAGCUUUUCUCAAACUGAUUAUCGCUCUUAGCGACGAAAUAUGUCGGUAUCCUCAAUUUCGAGCGGGUCUUCGCUACACGUUAGACUGACGGUUGAAAAUGUUUAUAUUAUUAUAUGUACACGUACAGGUAAUUCUCAAAAGGUAAUCGUUUCGGUAUCGGUAUCGUGUUGCGCCUGAGGUGUGCAUAAUAUUUAUGUUUUUGUGCGCGCGUCCACCAUUUUGCACAAAUAUUUCUAGUUCUUUAUUCACUCAGUACACAAUUGUUUUAAUUAAGACAUAGACAUGAUGAACGAGAAGACCGCACCUUUUCGAUUUUUUCGAUAUAAAUAUACACUUUGGUUGAAUAUUGUUUUCACUAUUAUUAUUAUUUUUUCUUUCCUUUCGUCUUUUACUUAUCCUGGUUUUAUGGAGUAAUUAAUAAUAUUGGUUAA
Molecule: long non-coding RNA, 4628 nt
Organism: Neodiprion virginianus
Lineage: Eukaryota; Metazoa; Arthropoda; Insecta; Hymenoptera; Diprionidae
Exons: 3
Source: RefSeq, a predicted model, not a curated record